Molecule: ribosomal RNA, 584 nt
Filed under: uncultured Bacilli bacterium
Lineage: Bacteria; Bacillati; Bacillota; Bacilli
Description: bacterial SSU rRNA
Rfam family: Bacterial small subunit ribosomal RNA
Source: RNAcentral
GAAACAGAUGCUAAUACCGCAUAAAUCCAAGAACCGCAUGGUUCUUGGCUGAAAGAUGGCGUAAGCUAUCGCUUUUGGAUGGACCCGCGGCGUAUUAGCUAGUUGGUGAGGUAACGGCUCACCAAGGCAAUGAUACGUAGCCGAACUGAGAGGUUGAUCGGCCACAUUGGGACUGAGACACGGCCCAAACUCCUACGGGAGGCAGCAGUAGGGAAUCUUCCACAAUGGACGCAAGUCUGAUGGAGCAACGCCGCGUGAGUGAAGAAGGCUUUCGGGUCGUAAAACUCUGUUGUUGGAGAAGAAUGGUCGGCAGAGUAACUGUUGUCGGCGUGACGGUAUCCAACCAGAAAGCCACGGCUAACUACGUGCCAGCAGCCGCGGUAAUACGUAGGUGGCAAGCGUUAUCCGGAUUUAUUGGGCGUAAAGCGAGCGCAGGCGGUUUUUUAAGUCUGAUGUGAAAGCCCUCGGCUUAACCGAGGAAGUGCAUCGGAAACUGGGAAACUUGAGUACAGAAGAGGACAGUGGAACUCCAUGUGUAGCGGUGAAAUGCGUAGAUAUAUGGAAGAACACCAGUGGCGAAGGCG